This 2430-nucleotide long non-coding RNA is filed under the name Sus scrofa (pig). Its description in RNAcentral is "lncRNA (ENSSSCG00025012333.1)". Lineage: Eukaryota; Metazoa; Chordata; Mammalia; Artiodactyla; Suidae. The record is from RNAcentral.
AGUUACCAUCCCAUUGGAUUUAGUGGAGAUUGAGCCAGUGUAUAUUUUGCAAGUGCUUAGAAUAGUCCCUGACAUGUGUUCAGGAGAAUAUAAAUAUAAGAAGGGUUAUUUUGGACUUUUUAGGAGAGAAAGGACUUCCCAGGCAGAGGUAAUAGCUUGAGUAAAAACACAAAGGUGUGGAGGUGUGACGUAUCAAGAAUUUCUGACCCUUGGAGUUCCCAUCGUGGCACAGUGGUUAACGAAUCUGACUAGGAACCAUGAGGUUGCGGGUUCCAUCCCUGGCCUCGCUCAGUGGGUUGGGGAUCCGGCGUUGCUGUGAGCUGUGGUGUAGGUCACAGAUGUGGCUCAGUUCCCGCGUUGCUGUGGUUCUGAGGUAGGCUGGCGGCUAGAGCUCUGAUUCAACCCCUAGCCUGGGAACCUCCAUAUGCCUUGGGAAUGGCCCAAGAAAUGGCAAAAAGACAAAAAAAAAAAAAAAAAAAAAAAAAAGAAAGAAAUUUCUGACCUUGAUGUUGAUAUUUGCAAAAAGUGAGCUUUGUGGCAGAAAAUGAUGUCCUAUAAAAGGGUACAACCAAGGAGCCCAGUUAGGGUCAUUCGCUGGUUAUUGCAACAGCCCAAAUUAGAGAUGAUCAGGCCAGGACGGCGACAGGCUGUCUAUGGAAAGGCAAUGAGAGAUAGGAUCUGAAAACAGAGACUAUACCAAGGACAAACUACCCCCUACAGGUAUAUCCUUUCCUUUUUCUAGAAAAUAGAAUUGUAUUUGAUAAAAUCUUAUUGUUCGUCAUCAAAUUCUCUUUCAGAUUUUUACCUUCAAACCGCUCAAGAAUAUUAUAGCCUCGUAUACUAUAAUUGAUUAAUUUUAUGAUGCCCUAUUUAAAGUAAAUGGAAAUUUUAAACGUGUUUUUUAUCAUGAGAUUCACUGUCUGGCAGUAACUAGGCAGAGCAAAUAAGAUAAAAGAUGUCCUUUAUUUCAGGAGCUACUGAGUAGAAAGAAAAACAAAAAGCAACAUGGACACCAAGCCUUAAGGACAUGUGAGAAUGUGGUUUUACUCAACCCGAAAGGUUGAACAAAGAUGUGUGGACCUCUGAUUAUUAUUUCAAUGAAAAUAAAUGUCAUUUGUUGAAUAUUUACUAAAUGCCAGGUCCUGGGCCGUGUAUUAUGUACAUUAUCUCACUUGGUCGUCUCAAUAACCCUAUGAGGCAUGUACAAUUACUGUCUUUAUUUUAUAGCAGGUAAGGGAGUGAGUCUCAGAAAAAUUAUGUGACUUGCCUAAACUAUCAGGGGUCAGAAUGAUAGGGGAUAAAAUAUGCUCAAGCUUGGAUUCCAACUCAGAUUUAAUGUUAGAGCCCACACACUUAGCUUUCCUAUCCUCAGAACACCCCCCCAAAAAAGCAUUAGCAGGAAACAGGAUGUGAAAAGCUGAACAACCUCAAAUUGAGAUGAAUGCCAUUAUUCUUCAUCAAAUACUGCUCUUUCUCUGGCCAAGGUCUCUGAGGACACACUUUGGAAGGGUCAGCUUUCCUUGAUGACUGUCUCAAUCUUCAAGCUUUAUAAUUUCUCUAAACAACCCCUUGUCUCUCACUCAUCAGUUUAGUAGGGCUUUCUGUCACCUCCUUGAUGUUCUUCCAGUCCAUUCAAAGUGCUAAUGUGCAGAUACAUGGAGCCAUAGUGGGAAUGAGUGGGAAAGACCUCAGGGUCAGAGCAAAGGACUCUUAUUGUGUGACCUGGGUCAGGUGAAAUAACAUCAGCUGCAGUUUUCCCUUUCAUGUAAUGAGUUAACACCCCUUGCCCUUUAUAAUCUAAUGAUUAAUUAGCUCUGAAUUUGCCACCUGCCAGGUAUCCACAGAAACACUCCAUCCCAAGCGGAUUUACUCCUUCGACUUUGUCUCUUCUCCCCGUUGAUGUGGCCACACAGUAGUUUUCACAUUUCCACAAGCAAAACGCAAACAACAAAGACUAUGGUACAUUCUGUAACUCAAAAUAAAUGACUUUCUCAUUUUGCACUCUUUGGGGUUAUCCACAUCACGGCUUGCUUUUAUUAGCAUGACACAGUUCAGAGGUGCCUAGAUGAGUUUUACCCCCAUAUACCUCCAAGAAGCAAUCUAUCUGUGUUGUGAAGUAAUUCAUCUCAAGCUUUAUUGACCCAUGAUGUGGACUAGGGAAAAAUGUAUUAAGUGCUUUUUUUUUUUUUUUUUUUUUUUUUUUUUUGACUCAAUCGACCAAGAACACUUUGCUGGUUUUGUUUGUUUGUUUGUUUGUUUGUUUUUCCAUCUAUUCCUUGAGUGGCUCUGUUAUCUGAGGGGAACCUCCAAUUUGCACCCAGCCUGGCAUUAUUCUCCUCCCGCCCAGCAAGGGACCUGACUCAGUGGACAUUCUGACAUUUCCCCUUGUAGAAUCUCUCUUUUGACUUUCACCAACAGAAGGUAAUAUUC